This 338-nucleotide ribosomal RNA is filed under the name uncultured Levilinea sp. RNAcentral's name for it is "bacterial SSU rRNA". It matches the Rfam family "Bacterial small subunit ribosomal RNA", at positions 1030 to 1382 of the family's 1533-position model. The record is from RNAcentral. Lineage: Bacteria; Bacillati; Chloroflexota; Anaerolineae; Anaerolineales; Anaerolineaceae.
UUGCACAGGUGCUGCAUGGCUGUCGUCAGCUCGUGUCGUGAGAUGUUCGGUUAAGUCCGCUAACGAGCGCAACCCUCGUCGUGUGUUACAAGUGUCACGCGAGACCGCCGACGUCAAGUCGGAGGAAGGUGGGGAUGAUGUCAAGUCAGCAUGGCCUUUAUAUCCAGGGCUACACACACGCUACAAUGGUCAACACAAUAGGUCGCGAAACCGCGAGGUGGAGCCAAUCCUCAAAGUUGGCCUCAGUUCAGAUUGUAGGCUGCAACUCGCCUGCAUGAAGAUGGAGUUGCUAGUAACCGCAGGUCAGCACUACUGCGGUGAAUACGUUCCCGGGGUUU